CAAGCAGCGGAGCAUGUGGUUUAAUUCGAAGCAACGCGAAGAACCUUACCUAGACUUGACAUCUCCUGCAUUACCCUUAAUCGGGGAAGUUCCUUCGGGAACAGGAAGACAGGUGGUGCAUGGUUGUCGUCAGCUCGUGUCGUGAGAUGUUGGGUUAAGUCCCGCAACGAGCGCAACCCUUAUUGUUAGUUGCUACCAUUUAGUUGAGCACUCUAGCGAGACUGCCCGGGUUAACCGGGAGGAAGGUGGGGAUGACGUCAAAUCAUCAUGCCCCUUAUGUCUAGGGCUACACACGUGCUACAAUGGCAAGUACAAAGAGAAGCAAGACCGCGAGGUGGAGCAAAACUCAAAAACUUGUCUCAGUUCGGAUUGUAGGCUGAAACUCGCCUACAUGAAGCUGGAGUUGCUAGUAAUCGCGAAUCAGCAUGUCGCGGUGAAUACGUUCCCGGGGCCUUGUACACACC
RNAcentral lists this ribosomal RNA (464 nucleotides) under uncultured bacterium. RNAcentral's name for it is "bacterial SSU rRNA". It matches the Rfam family "Bacterial small subunit ribosomal RNA", at positions 926 to 1391 of the family's 1533-position model. The record is from RNAcentral.